AUUGAACGCUGGCGGCAGGCCUAACACAUGCAAGUCGAGCGGAUGAAGGGAGCUUGCUCCUGGAUUCAGCGGCGGACGGGUGAGUAAUGCCUAGGAAUCUGCCUGGUAGUGGGGGAUAACGUCCGGAAACGGGCGCUAAUACCGCAUACGUCCUGAGGGAGAAAGUGGGGGAUCUUCGGACCUCACGCUAUCAGAUGAGCCUAGGUCGGAUUAGCUAGUUGGUGGGGUAAAGGCCUACCAAGGCGACGAUCCGUAACUGGUCUGAGAGGAUGAUCAGUCACACUGGAACUGAGACACGGUCCAGACUCCUACGGGAGGCAGCAGUGGGGAAUAUUGGACAAUGGGCGAAAGCCUGAUCCAGCCAUGCCGAGUGUGUGAAGAAGGUCUUCGGAUUGUAAAGCACUUUAAGUUGGGAGGAAGGGCAGUAAGUUAAUACCUUGCUGUUGUGACGUUACCAACAGAAUAGGCACCGGCUAACUUCG
This 482-nucleotide ribosomal RNA is filed under the name uncultured bacterium. Its description in RNAcentral is "partial 16S ribosomal RNA". It matches the Rfam family "Bacterial small subunit ribosomal RNA", at positions 30 to 505 of the family's 1533-position model. The record is from RNAcentral.